UGCAUGGGGAAUAGUCGGGAUAGCUCAGCUGGUAGAGCAGAGGACUGAAA
RNAcentral lists this transfer RNA (50 nucleotides) under Fendlera rupicola. RNAcentral's name for it is "partial tRNA-Phe". Lineage: Eukaryota; Viridiplantae; Streptophyta; Magnoliopsida; Cornales; Hydrangeaceae. The record is from RNAcentral.